AUCGUAUAUUAGCGUCACUUUGCGUCUUUCGUCUCCCGGUCACUGGUGCGUAAUUGCGCGCAUCCUCGCUCGUAUUGAUUCUCGAGCCUGAGUGAAAGCACCUUGUUGAAUGAAAACAAAAACGACCUCACGUCACCUAGACAGAAACGCAGAUAACACAAGUAAAACUGAGCAAGGAGUGUGAUGCUCUAAUUAUGAAUUAUCAUCAUCAUUAAUUGAGGACGUUACAUUAAUAACACACUAUAUGUCUUGUUUGAUGUGGGUCCACUUCAGUAAACACUUCAUUCUUACAUCUUUAAUAUUGUGUCAUUAAAAUUGCUGCACUUUGAUUUGACGCUUGACAUUUGAUUUGUUUUACAUCAGAUUUAUUACUAUUACUUCAUAAGCAACAUUGUGUCACAGGGAACAAAUAAUUCCCAUCAACCUCUGACUGACUAAAUCAUAUUCUAACACACACACUAACACAAUGACUUCAUGGGGCAAACAUUUCCAUCGCUCCAGCGCUGAGUGCAGUGCUGCAGAUGUGGGGACCGGCCAGCCUGGCGGAGCCUCUUGUCAUUCCUUCCUCCGGCUGUGUGUUUUUGUGUCGCGUACAUUCCUCUGCUCUCCGGCCGCAUUGCCGCUGCGCUCCCUCCCUCUUAGCCACAUAUUGUGCCACCCCACCGGGCAGACUGCCUGGCGCCACACAUCGAGGGCUCAUUCAUUCACACCAACUCUUCCUCCUUUCUUUCUUUCAUUUCUUCUUUCUUCUUUUCUUUCUUGCUUUCCCUUUUUCUUUCCUUUCAGGCAUGUUGCCAAGACAACGCCGAAGCCACUCUAGAUAUCAGUUCAGCCACAAUCCUGAGUGUUUUCCAGCCAGGAUGCAUAUGAGGCCCUGAGGUCUGCGUCUAACAGGGAUGACACCCACUUCAGGGCCUGUUUGGAGGGUUAAUGUCCCAAACUUUAUGGGAACCACCACAGUCAUGAACAUUGAAAGGCUUAAGUUGCUUUAAAUGGGGGAAUUUUCCCCCUUUCACUGUCUGUUUUCUGUUGCCAUGGGUCGUGACUGUUCUGCUCAGUAAUGUGGUCAACAAUGUUAGGUUAGGGGCCACUUCAAAGAGGUCAGUGGUAUGAAUCUUUGAUAGGCUUCCACCGGCGACACGGUGUGUGAACUCUCGCAGGACGAGCAGGUGACAGAAGAGGCCUGAGAGGAAAACAACGGCCACUUUAGCUUCUGUCCUUCAGAACCCAUUCUACACAGCGACCCAGGCUUCAACUAUGAUGACAAAGCUGGAAACACAAAGCUGACAGUCUGCUGAACUAAAGCUGUCACUCAGUUAGUUAUGAGCCUGAGGUUUAAAUUUUAAUUUUCAGAACCUGUUACUAUAAAGCUAAAAUCAACAAUGUUAGUUAAAUUAAAAGUUGGGUGUCUUCGGUGGAGCUUUUGUGCUUCAUCUUGUGUCCUCUGCUUUUUAUCUUCUCCUGGGUUCAUAAACUGUAGGACCAGCUGCAGAUGACUCACCUUGACCGUUACAACAGCCUGUCUCUAACCCAGUACUUAGUCAGUGAUGAGCCAAUUGACCACAACUUUAACGUUUAGGAAUAGAUUUCGUAGAACAAAGAAGGAACCAUUGUGCAGGUUUGCCUCCUCUUCUUCCGCUGCAUCUUGUGUCUAAUCGUGGCUCUUCUUCUUCCCUGAAGGCUGUAGCAGAGCUGACUGGGGACCAGGGCACAGUAACCAGAGACUCGUUAGGUGGGGCCGAUGGGUGAACCUGUAUGUUUGUUGUCGCUUCACAGCAGACCAGAGGAGUUAUGGAACCAGUCUGCAUCUUCUGACAGCACCGCAUGUGUUCAGCUCAGGAAAGCAGCUGUGCACAUGAGGCCUAAACUCAGAUUGUUUACAGCAGCAGUGCUGCAACCACUGUACGCAAGUGGAAAUUGCAUGAAAGCUGCAUCUGUGCAAGAAAAAGGUCUCCUUGGUGACACAGUUUGCACAACAUGCCUUAUUCCCCCGACGAACGCCCAGCUAAACACAACAGCUCUGUCUGUGUCAUUUACACAGCUGCUACCUGUCCCAUCACAAGCCCGCGUCUCUUCUGUCCGGCCUCUCAAAUAUAUUAUUUGUGCAACUCUUCCCCAGAUCUGAGCACCUGAACAGCUGGACGCUCAAAUGCUGAGAUCUUGGUGCCACAUGUCUUUCCUGAUGCAACCCUCUGUAACUCUUUAAAUUCAACUCUUCCAUCAGACAGUGGAAGUGGUUAAUUCACAAGAACAAGGACUUCACGGAGGAAUGCCAUUCAGCUCAUUCAACCCGACGCCCCCCAAAUCUCUCCUGCAAACGUGUCCUCGCUGAUUCUCUCAAAGAAUUAAUUGCUGCAAAUAAUCUCGCCAUCUGGUUGGGGAGGUCCGUACCUGUGAGGCUGCUUGCAUUGCAGAGGUUGGGGUCUAUUCAGAUGCCCGCAAUGCUGCUGUGGCGCGCCCCGGACGCCUGCAAGGGCGGCAUCACUAUGAUCCGACUGCAGGCCGCACACGGGACGUCCAGAGAAGAGAGGGUGCGAAGAAUUAGAAGGAGACUGGGGAAGACAGAAUGCACAGAAGCACGUUGAGAGCAAGCCGGCGUCUCAUCAUUUUUAUUUCCCCUUUUUUAAUUCUCUCAUGGUGUGUCUUUCCGUCUUCUUUGCAUACCUUUAAACCGUCAGCCAAAUGCUACGCAAACUUCUGUAAUGCUGAAAUAGAUCAAAUGCAAAUCGAGUGUGGUUUCAGCAGCUCGGCUGGAGCUCGAAUCUGCUCAUCAGGAAACCGGCACAUGCUCACACAUAAUGUGAAGAUUACUGAUUCCAACCUAUCGCCGUAUUUAUUAGAAUAAAAUGAAGCAAUGUUUAUGAGUUAAUAAGCAGCAUCAACUUCCAAGCAAUAAAAUGAACGGAUCCAAUA
Long non-coding RNA from Betta splendens (Siamese fighting fish), 2913 nucleotides. RefSeq lists it as uncharacterized. The transcript has 6 exons. The record is from RefSeq and is a predicted model, not a curated record. NCBI's taxonomy places the organism in Eukaryota, Metazoa, Chordata, Actinopteri, Anabantiformes, Osphronemidae.